This 1101-nucleotide long non-coding RNA is filed under the name Mytilus galloprovincialis (Mediterranean mussel). Lineage: Eukaryota; Metazoa; Mollusca; Bivalvia; Mytilida; Mytilidae. The record is from RNAcentral.
GUAUAUAUCCGGCUAUAAAUUUUGCGUGUACCUACACAUUUGUGUACUAAAAAUUGUCAAGAGUCGUUCAUCACAGUGACAUGUAUACAUUUUUUAGUUGCUACUACUCUCUAGCCUAGACUAGGUCGAUAUGGUAUGAAUAGUUCAGUUAAAUCAAGAAUUUAGCCAUAUGUAAACAGGCCACAGCUUGAAUUAUUGUUGUAAUAACUCAAUUAUAUACUAAUAUUACACUAUGUUACUAUCAACUGACUAUGGAUUUAAGUUUAAUAAAUAUAUAAAUCUGUAUAUAUACUAAUUUUGAAUUAUUUUUUUUUAAAUUAUUGUAACUAUUAUCGACACAACUACAUGUAUGAGUAUACGUAAUUUUUAAUUGUUAUUGUUUCUUUGUACAGUCAUUUGGUUUUGUUAUGUCAAUGCUAUGUAGCAUGGUGGAACUAAUAUUUACUUUUUGUUGAGUUGUAGCACAAUGUUGGGUAGAUCAGUUAGAGACCUUGCUCGGCCACAGAACACGGCCAAGGGUUGUAACAGUUGGACCAGAGACUUGGACAACAAGGACACACCAGUUUUUACAGAUGGGUUACCAGACUGGACUGGAUUCACGACUCAUCACGCCACUAACUCAACUCCUUUGGUCACAUACAUUUGUACAUUGAAUCAUCAUCAGAUGUUAUUUAUGCAAACCCCUAGAGCUUUGCAUUGGUAUGAUCCAGUUGAGAAUUUUUCAGGUAAUCGUCAGAUUUACUAGUUAAAAGCAGUAUAUUACUUUUAAGUUAAACCCCCUCAUGUACAAAAUGUACAUGUGAUUACAACAUAUAACAAACAUAUUUAUAUAGAUUAAGACAACUUUUUCUAAUCUUAUGGGUUAGAUUGAAAAGAUUUGUGUAACGUUUAUAUCUCAGUUUCUAAACUUAAAAUUGCUGAAUGUGUUACUUUUACAAAUUUAUAUGGCCUUACAAUGAUGGGAUGCCGCAUCAUGUGUUUGAAAUAAAAAAAAAAACUUUCGUAAAUAUGAGGUUACAUUCUAUAUAAUUGUUAUAUAAUAUAUUACAUUGAAACUUUUAAAUGUUGUUUGGUAUUUAUCACAUUUUGAAUGGAGGACGC